CCCCUAGAUGUUCUGGGCCGCACGCGCGCUACACUGAACAGUUCAACAAGUCUUAACCUUGGCCGAUAGGUCUGGGUAAUCUUUGAACGCUGUUCGUGAUUGGGAUAGACCUUUGCAAUUAUGGGUCUUCAACGAGGAAUUCCUAGUAAACGCAAGUCAUCAGCUUGCAUUGAUUACGUCCCUGCCCUUUGUACACACCGCCCGUCGCACCUACCGAUUGAAUGGUCCGGUGAAAUCUCGGGACGGCGGCUUGGUCGCUUGCGUCCGACUGCUGAAACUUGAUUAAACCAUAUCAUUUAGAGGAAGGUGAANUCGCAACA
This 320-nucleotide ribosomal RNA is filed under the name uncultured eukaryote. Its description in RNAcentral is "partial 18S ribosomal RNA". It matches the Rfam family "Eukaryotic small subunit ribosomal RNA", at positions 1470 to 1796 of the family's 1831-position model. The record is from RNAcentral.